RNAcentral lists this small nuclear RNA (20 nucleotides) under Arabidopsis thaliana (thale cress). RNAcentral's name for it is "snRNA_19056". Lineage: Eukaryota; Viridiplantae; Streptophyta; Magnoliopsida; Brassicales; Brassicaceae. The record is from RNAcentral.
GUAGGAUAAGUGGGAGCUUC